RNAcentral lists this microRNA precursor (76 nucleotides) under Sus scrofa (pig). Its description in RNAcentral is "mir-1 microRNA precursor family". It matches the Rfam family "mir-1 microRNA precursor family". From Rfam's summary of the family: This family represents the microRNA (miRNA) mir-1 family. miRNAs are transcribed as ~70nt precursors (modelled here) and subsequently processed by the Dicer enzyme to give a ~22nt product. The record is from Rfam by way of RNAcentral. Lineage: Eukaryota; Metazoa; Chordata; Mammalia; Artiodactyla; Suidae.
CCCGAGGCCACAUGCUUCUUUAUAUCCCCAUACGGAUUACUUGACUAUGGAAUGUAAGGAAGUGUGUGAUCUCGUU